GUAGGUUGACUCCGUGGCUCGAGACGACGCUGGCGGCGCGCCUCAUACAUGCAAGUCGAACGUGAAGCCCGGAGCUUGCUCCGGGUGGAAAGUGGCGAACGGGUGAGUAACACGUGAGGAACCUGCCCCGAAGACCGGGAUAACUCCGGGAAACCGGUGCUAAUACCGGAUGUCCUCACCGGAUCGCAUGGUCCGGUGAGGAAAUGGAUUCCGCUUCGGGAUGGUCUCGCGGCCUAUCAGCUUGUUGGCGGGGUAACGGCCCACCAAGGCUUCGACGGGUAGCUGGUCUGAGAGGAUGUCCAGCCACACUGGGACUGAGACACGGCCCAGACUCCUACGGGAGGCAGCAGUAGGGAAUCUUGCACAAUGGACGAAAGUCUGAUGCAGCGACGCCGCGUGUGGGAUGAAUGCCUUCGGGUUGUAAACCACUUUCAGCAGGGACGAUAUUGACGGUACCUGCAGAAGAAGGCCCGGCCAACUACGUG
Molecule: ribosomal RNA, 485 nt
Filed under: uncultured Actinomycetes bacterium
Lineage: Bacteria; Bacillati; Actinomycetota; Actinomycetes
Description: bacterial SSU rRNA
Rfam family: Bacterial small subunit ribosomal RNA
Source: RNAcentral